This 253-nucleotide ribosomal RNA is filed under the name uncultured bacterium. Its description in RNAcentral is "partial 16S ribosomal RNA". It matches the Rfam family "Bacterial small subunit ribosomal RNA", at positions 524 to 776 of the family's 1533-position model. The record is from RNAcentral.
UACGGAGGGUGCAAGCGUUAUCCGGAUUCACUGGGUUUAAAGGGAGCGCAGGCGGGCUGGUAAGUCAGUGGUGAAAGCCUUGAGCUUAACUCGAGAACUGCCAUUAAUACUAUCAGUCUUGAAUAUUGUUGAGGUUUGCGGAAUGGGUCAUGUAGCGGUGAAAUGCAUAGAUAUGACCCGGAACACCUAUUGCGAAGGCAGCAGGCUAAACAAAGAUUGACGCUGAGGCUCGAAAGCGUGGGGAUCAAACAGG